Molecule: ribosomal RNA, 303 nt
Filed under: uncultured fungus
Lineage: Eukaryota; Fungi
Description: SSU rRNA
Rfam family: Eukaryotic small subunit ribosomal RNA
Source: RNAcentral
AAGCCAUGCAUGUCUAAGUAUAAGCAAUCUAUACCGUGAAACUGCGAAUGGCUCAUUAAAUCAGUUAUCGUUUAUUUGAUAGUACCUUACUACUUGGAUAACCGUGGUAAUUCUAGAGCUAAUACAUGCUAAAAACCCCGACUUCGGAAAGGGUGUAUUUAUUAGAUAAAAAACCAAUGCCCUUCGGGGCUCCUUGGUGAUUCAUAAUAACUUAACGAAUCGCAUAGCCUUGUGCUGGCGAUGGUUCAUUCAAAUUUCUGCCCUAUCAACUUUCGAUUGUAAGGUAUUGGCUUACAAUGGUUU